Lagopus muta (rock ptarmigan) is the source of this 1864-nucleotide long non-coding RNA. RefSeq lists it as uncharacterized. Lineage: Eukaryota; Metazoa; Chordata; Aves; Galliformes; Phasianidae. The record is from RefSeq and is a predicted model, not a curated record. The transcript is spliced from 3 exons.
AUCUCUUUCUGGAGAUCCCUCCUUUGGAAUUUUGCAGUGAGUCCAGGACACAGACUCAGGAGAGCAGCUCGCAUCUCAAAAGCCAGCCUCCAUCAACUGGGCCAGAAAGAGCUGUUUUACAGGGAAGGCCUGUUACGAGGACUGCGUGACUUGGACAGUUGACUAGAAGAUGUGGAAUCUAAAAUCUGGUAAAGGAAAUGGAGAAGAGAGAAAUUACCAGUAUUCAGGCCUCCCUCCAUAUCCUUUUAACUAUUUUUGUCUCCUCCUUUUCUGAGCUGGAAUUGCUGGGGUUAGGAGAAGAAGGGUAGGGAAUGUGUGAAAUGAGUAAGGAGCAAAGGUUGCUUCCUUUUAUCUCCUCAUGUUUACUUCCCUCCCACCCCUUGCCCCCCCUUUUUUUUAAACAACAAUGUAAGAAGAAGUAAUACUAAAAACUUACAAAUUCAAAUACUAAAAAACCAAAUCCAGCAUAAGAAUUGAUAGGUAACAGAAUUGAUAGGAAUAAAAAUCUUUCUGUGCUGAAUGUUUGUUUACUGAUCGUGUUUACUGGAGUGGAGCACUUUACAAAGCUUCAAAAUAAAAUGCAUACUCUGUUGUGAGGAGAAUAUAACUGAUAAAGGAAGGAUACAAGAUGAGAUAAAAUAAGGAAGCCUAUAAUGCAGAAACAAGCUGUUUCAAAGCCUGAUUCUGGAAUUACUAAUGUUUCCCAUAAUAAAGUAGGAAAGCUAGAAAUGCUUCCAGGCUAAGCCUUAAGAGACUGAUUAUCUCAGCACCUUGUCAUUAUUUCUGGGGCAAAGGAUCUUCAGUAUUUUGCAGCAUUUCACCCCAAUUCACAAAUAUCUAGUGAGAAAUUUCCCUGAGUUCUUUCUGAAUGGAACUGCAGUACUCCAGUCACAAAAAAGCUGCUCCUUGUCUCCAGCCUUGCUGUGUCGCUUGUUAUAAACAUAUAUGACAAAUGAGUGUUUGACUGUACGAGAAAUAUAGCCAUCCCCAGUCAAGCUGUGCAAAUGACAAACUUUGGAAUAAAAUAAACCAACAUGUAGUCCUUGCCACUGUUGAUUUUGCUAUAGUCAAGGGAGUCUUCAAAAUAUAUUUCUAAGUAUAUAUUUCCUAACACCUCAGCUCCAGAGCUUUGUUAUACAAGACUUGGCCACAGAUCACAGCCCACCACCCAAAGAUGCUGGAGGUCUACUCAGUCUACUCUAUGUUGAGCCUUCAUCACCAUUUGAGUUCCUAUAGCGUACACUAUGCAAGCAGUGCUCUCUAGUUAGGGGAGCCUGAGGUAUUCUUUGAUGUGACCUUGAUACAACUGAAAUUAUUCUAUUUGUCUUGAACCCACCAUGCUGGCAGGAUAAAUUUUAAUUCUAGAUGGUACGUCUAGUUUGAAAAUAAAUAGGAGGGACUUCAAUCUGAAAAUAUUCAUCCAUUUCACAAAAUAUGAGGAAAGGAGAAGAAAUGGAUGACUUAGAAACUCUUAGCAGAAGCCCACUUCAUCAUCUAUCAUCUCUCUGCUUGGAGGCAAGGUCUUGAAACAGUGCUACCUGUUUAACUCAGGCAAGUAGCUUUUCUCGUUCUCAGGAAAUCUGCCUAUGUUUAGCAAGCCAAGGCUUGCUAAAACACUUUGGUUCCCUUAUACUGAGCAGGGACUCUCCCAACAACACUUUUUUGUCCAAAAGAGUUUGCUUACUCUGAGCACCUGUGGAUGCCACCCUGGGUGAGAGGAGGGGAGCCAGAUUUCUUCUAUGUCAGCUCCCUGCUCCCUUGCUUUGCUCUGGCUCAUGUAGGGACAACUACGCAGGCCUUCUGGUCUCUUUCCCAAGGAGUCUCUCUGGUGGAUUGGACUGAGCUGUUUCUUUUUGGGAGGUCU